AACGCAACUUGCACUCUAGGUUCUCCUAGAGUAUGCCUAUUUGAGUAUCGGUACAACACCCACUCAAACCCCCCCUUAGUGUGCGGGUUUGGAUCUGAUGAGUCGUGUGCCACCACCAUCUCGCGUGGCGCUGACUUGAAGUAAUGUAUAUUGAAUCGGGCCUAUGCAUACCACCGCGUGCGCACACCUGGUUCUGACGUGAUAGUCUCAUUCUUGGGAACUCGUCAGUACAGGCGCGCAAUCCACGUGGAUCGGUCAUAGUGUUUCCCAGUCACCCACCCCACAUUCUUGAUAUUAUGAAUCUCGAUCUCAAAUUAGGUAGGACUACCCGCUGAAUUUAA
This 341-nucleotide unclassified non-coding RNA is filed under the name uncultured fungus. Its description in RNAcentral is "sequence contains ITS2". Lineage: Eukaryota; Fungi. The record is from RNAcentral.